UAGGGAAUCUUCCACAAUGGACGGCAAGUCUGAUGGAGCAACGCCGCGUGAGUGAAGAAGGUUUUCGGAUCGUAAAGCUCUGUUGUUGGUGAAGAAGGAUAGAGGCAGUAACUGGUCUUUAUUUGACGGUAAUCAACCAGAAAGUCACGGCUAACUACGUGCCAG
Molecule: ribosomal RNA, 165 nt
Filed under: uncultured bacterium
Lineage: Bacteria
Description: partial 16S rRNA
Rfam family: Bacterial small subunit ribosomal RNA
Source: RNAcentral